AUUGAACGCUGGCGGCAUGCUUUACACAUGCAAGUCGAACGGUAACAGGGAGCUUGCUCCGCUGACGAGUGGCGAACGGGUGAGUAAUGCAGUCGGAACCGUACCCAGUCGGUGGGGGAUAACGUAGCGAAAGUUACGCUAAUACCGCAUACGUCCUGAGGGAGAAAGCGGGGGACCGAAAGGCCUCGCGCGAUUGGAGCGGCCGAUGUCGGAUUAGCUAGUUGGUGGGGUAAAGGCCUACCAAGGCGACGAUCCGUAGCGGGUCUGAGAGGAUGAUCCGCCACACUGGGACUGAGACACGGCCCAGACUCCUACGGGAGGCAGCAGUGGGGAAUUUUGGACAAUGGGGGCAACCCUGAUCCAGCCAUGCCGCGUGAGUGAAGAAGGCCUUCGGGUUGUAAAGCUCUUUCAGACGGAAAGAAAACGCAUCGGUGAAUACCCGAUGUGGAUGACGGUACCGUAAGAAGAAGCACCGGCUAACUACGUG
RNAcentral lists this ribosomal RNA (487 nucleotides) under uncultured bacterium. Its description in RNAcentral is "bacterial SSU rRNA". It matches the Rfam family "Bacterial small subunit ribosomal RNA", at positions 29 to 507 of the family's 1533-position model. The record is from RNAcentral.